Chenopodium quinoa (quinoa) is the source of this 3754-nucleotide RNA transcript. It is a transcript of the gene named RNA polymerase II subunit 5-mediating protein homolog, with no coding region annotated. The record is from RefSeq and is a predicted model, not a curated record. NCBI's taxonomy places the organism in Eukaryota, Viridiplantae, Streptophyta, Magnoliopsida, Caryophyllales, Amaranthaceae. The transcript has 8 exons.
UAUACUUAUCAAAUAGGAAAUGUAUAAUAUUAUUGUAUUUUGUAUUAAAAACUUUUCUAAGAAGCUUUGACCAAAAAAAUAAAAAGUUAAAAAAAAAACUUUUGGAGGGAAAAUUUUUAAUUAUGAGAUGACAUGUGUUAUUCCUAAUUUCGCCUUUAGUAUAAAGUUAUAGAUUAUAUCUAUUUCCAACAUAAUCCUAUAAACAUGUCAAACAUUGGAUUGAGAAUUAUUUUAGUAUAUUCCCAAUGAAAUUACCAUAAACUAAUUUCCAAUACACAAAUGUUCAAAAAAAUCGGAUGUACGAUAAUGCUAUUGUAAAUCAAUAGCACGUGAGCCCUCUUCAUUACUUUCUUUUUCAGUUUCUCUCUCUCCUCACUUAUUUUUCACCCACUAUGGAAGCCACCACCGCUGCCACCACUGCCGCAAGCUUGAGCCUCUCUCUCUCUCCUCACUUAUUUUUCACCCACUACGGGAAGCCACCAUCGUUGCCACCACUGCCGCGAGCUUGAGCCUCGUCAACAAUCAUCUGACGGUUGUUGAGUGUUUGACCGUUUAUUCCCUCGAUCGCGGCAUCAAGCUCUUCUUUGCUUUCGAGGGUAAUGAUGGUAACGAUGCCAAAUCUUCAGUCGAUGGUUAAAUUUGGUAAGGCGGCGUUCUUUCCAGGUCGUUUGGUUCAUACUAAUGAAUUCCUGGUUCUCCUAGGAGAGGGUUAUUUUUCUGAUAGAACAACCAAACAAACUGUUGACAUUCUUAAAAGAAGAGGGCAGACGUUGGAGUCGCAAGUUGGUUCUGUUAAGGCUGUGAUUGAAGAUCUUAAAGCCGAGGCCUCAUUUUUAGACAGAUCUGCUGCAGAAGCUGUGGAGGGGCUUGUGGAGAUCAGGGAAGAGUGUAGCGAUGAUGAAGAUUCUGGAGGAAGUUGGAUGAACUACUUGAGAAAGAAGAACUUGAAGAAGAAGAUAUUGAAGAGGAUGAAGAUGAUGCUAACUUGGUAAAUCAUAAAAUGAAUUAUCCUCAUUUUAAUUGUUGACCAAUCUGAACCAAGGAUAUUUAGAGGAUCAUCAUCAUGCCAAAGAGCUCUCUGAUAGUAUAUCUGAAACAAGUUAUGCUGAUAAAUUAAUUCGUGGAAAUUUAAGUUUGCAAGAAUUGCAACCUGGGCAUAAAGAUGAAUCCUCUCGUGGCAAAGAUGUACUGCAAAACUAUGUUGGAAGAUCAAUGGAGGAAGAUUAUGUCCCUUCUGUCAUGAAGUCAAGUGUUCCAUCUGAGGUACACCUGUGCCUUCUCUUUUUAGUUGAUACAUGCGGAGUAUCUUUUUGCUAUUUGGCUUAUUUCCUGGAUUUUUUAGGGAUAUUUCGUAAGAUAUUCCUUUAACUUUUGCAAAAUUCAUGUCAUACCUUUCCAACCUAAUUGUGUCCACAGUAUACCCCUUACUUUUUAUGUUACAAACGAUAUAUGUGUAACCAUAAUGUGUUGUUAGUUUGGAACCAUAAUAUGUCGAAUAUGUGAUGUGGUUGGAGAACUUUUUGUUGUUUGACCUAUUUAACUUUUUAUCAUAAGUAUUUUGUUAAGUUUUAUUAAUACAAUGCAUGUGGAAAAGUAACAUAUCAACAUUAUUUCACGCGCAUUGAUGGAGAUGAAUAACAAAACCUUUAAAUUAAAUUGUCACAUAACUAACAAAGAACUCUUCUACCACUUCAACAUUAUUCGAAAGAAACUAGAAGACCAUUGCAUUUUUGCAUACAUUAUGCCUAAUUUGAAAGUUCAAGGAUAUACUGUGCGCAUAGUUAGAUGUGAAAUGAGGCAUCACGUGAAGUUUGCAAAGUACUGAGUUCCCUUUAAUUCUUCCUUUUUCUCCUGAUUUACAGGUUAAAUGCAUAUAAUUAAAUCCUUGUCUCUUCAAAGAUAUCUGAUAAAAAAGUUAAAAAAAUUUAUACUAUAAAGAAGUAGUUCUUGAAAUCUGAAUACUCUCUAAUUCUCUGAUAAGGAAUUUAGUUUUAUCAGAAGAUGAAGUUGAAGCAAGGGCUUCCAAUGGGGACUGUCACCUGCAUCCAUAUAGUUUAAUAGCUAGGCUAUCGCCUGACCAAAAAGACUGUCAUUGGAGAAAGGAAAUUAAAUCUCUAGGUUUUUUUUUUUUUUUUUUUUUUUUUUUUUUUUUUUUUUUUUUUUUUUUUUUUUUUUUUGCUGGGUGUUGGUUGAAGUUUAUCUAUUGCAUUUACCCAUGUUCAAUUAAUUGAAAAUAAAAUUCAAAACUUUCCUUUUUCCUUGAUUCCCUCCUCUAAGCACAUCCUCUUGGCUCUUCUUAAGGUUUGGAAGUCCUUACAUAAUCACCUUUUGACACUAAAGCUGUGUUGAUCAUGAUGUCUGUAGUGAUAAGGGCUUUAAAAUAAAACCUCAGGGAUUGAAUCUAAUAAUAUAAUUGGAACAAGAAAAUCUUCCAGUCUGUCUUUCUCCUGCCUCUUUUUUCCUGCUUUUGUUGAUACUUGAUAGCUGGUGCCUUCGUUUCAAUCUGUUAUUGGAUUGGGCCUACCCAUACUCAGUGGUCAUGUUGAGUGGGUAAAUAGCGACGAUGCUGUGAUGGGUUAGCUAGUCUUUGGAAAGUGAGGGAGAAAAUUGGUGGGGGUUGUGGGCAGAGAAAGAUGAAGUAAUGGUGGUGCUGGUGGCAUGGUGGACAUGACAUGAUUAUGUAAGGAGGUCAAAAAGGGAAGGAGGUGUCAUAAAUAUCAUAGAGCGGGAUAUAGGUUAGGUUUUUUUGGCCCAAAUGCCUUGGGGGUUUUUCAGUCCUUAUCAUAGCAAACAACAACUGAAAUGAUCAAAGGUAGGGUAUUUGCAUAUGGAAUACUAGGUUUGACUGUAUAGUGUAUACCCUGCAUUUUGUUUGCCUGUUAUUCCCAUCUCUUGUACCAUUUACAUUGUACUUAACUUGAACCAAACAACCCCUGAAUGAAAGAUUUAGUUCUCUCCUUUAUGGGAGGACAUGCCAGGUAAUUAGAUGAAAGCAGAGAAGAUGCUACGUAGUGGAAGCUGACCAUACUUAUCUGUUCCUCCAGGGGAAAAUUUAUUGGCCCAAGUGAAUGCUCUAGUACAUAAUUCCAUAAGUACUACUCGUAUGUAAUAGAAUUAGUUGCUCAUGUUGAGCUUGCUGAUCCAUGCAGAUGUGAAAGACUUAAAGGUGAUAAUUUUUCCCAUAAUUGAAUGGUUAGUGUUAGACAUUUUGGACAAAUUUGUCUUGUCCUGUGCCUGGCUGCAUGAUGAUUGGCAUGAUUUUUCUUGCUCCAUAUUUUAAGUUAAAGUUUUAUGGAGUAUAUCUUAAGUGGAUCUGAUGAUUAAGAUGUAAUUGAUUGGAAUUAGUCUGUGUCCGGACUAUGCUUGCAUUGAGACUAUACCCGAGAAAAAAUAAUGGAACGUGCUAUUGUUUGUACCCUUAUUUCUUGUACAGUAUUUUUGUUUCACAGAAUAUGCAUAGUGGUAAAUUUUUAUUUUGAUAAUUGACGAUCCUCUCCUUAAAUUCUUUUUUUCCCUCUAGGUUAGUGUUCCUGCGCCUAAACCAGAUGUUGGCAAUCGAUUGUCUAGACCUACUACAGAUAGUCUCAAGGCAUGUCUUCUAACUAUUGCUUCCCCUCCCGCUAUCAACAUUCACACUUCCCUCCCCCCCUGUAAAAAGGGUGUUCCCAUCGUACCCUUCUCCUUAGAUUCACAUGGCCUUUUAAAAUCCUAGGACUUUACACUUGUUAGGGUGUAUUAGGAUUUGAAUUCUUGA